GGGAAGAUAACUCUUGAAACAACUUACUUGUACUACUGAAACAUUGGUAUAUCAUUUGGUGCAUGAUUAUGGAGGUAAAGAACUACGUGUGGCUUAAUCCCUUAACAAGGGUACGUAGGUAGCUUGGGGUCCCACCCAGGUGCAGCCGCUGACUAAAAUUUACUUAUGUUGUUUGAUUGUGUUGGAUUGUUAAAUGACAGGACCCGACCCAAAUUCCACUUAGGAAUCCGAGCCGAGCCCUAUGCAUGUUCGACACUUGACAGGUGCCAGGCACAAAGACUAAUUUGCCCUUCUAAUCAAAACUUAGCUUCAUUUUAGGUUUGACUAAAAUGAACAUUCUCAAAUUUACACCUGUCAACAAGCACUUAAAAAUAUACACCAACAGUUAAAUACGUCCUAGGGCAACAUCAGAGCAACUAUACAGAGUAAGGUACAAGUGUAAUUUUAUUAUACGAAGCCCUACAUCAACAAGGGAUGAGGUGAAAUGUGGACUCUGCCAGGUAGUGGCUCACUGUGCACGCUUUCUGCCUAGGGGCACAAAACAUUGAAAAUAUGAGUGGACCAAAAAUAAAGUUUAGAAAAUAACAUAUUAACAUACUAACCCCACUGUAAAAACAGUUAUGCAAAACUAAAACAUUCUUUUCAUUAUAUUCGUAUUGAGGUCAAUGUGUUCAUAUAUUUAUGUACAUAUACCAAUCAUACUCAUGGUCAAUAAAAUCUCUUAAAAGCACUGAAAUCAAUUUAAAACUACCACCUAGGUGUACCUCUUUAUUUCCG
This 777-nucleotide long non-coding RNA is filed under the name Prunus persica (peach). Its description in RNAcentral is "long non-coding RNA (PPER_LNC005745)". The record is from RNAcentral. Lineage: Eukaryota; Viridiplantae; Streptophyta; Magnoliopsida; Rosales; Rosaceae.